This 1336-nucleotide ribosomal RNA is filed under the name Acinetobacter sp. Cas4. Its description in RNAcentral is "bacterial SSU rRNA". It matches the Rfam family "Bacterial small subunit ribosomal RNA", at positions 8 to 1340 of the family's 1533-position model. The record is from RNAcentral. Lineage: Bacteria; Pseudomonadati; Pseudomonadota; Gammaproteobacteria; Moraxellales; Moraxellaceae.
AGAGUUUGAUCAUGGCUCAGAUUGAACGCUGGCGGCAGGCUUAACACAUGCAAGUCGAGCGGGGGAAGGUAGCUUGCUACUGGACCUAGCGGCGGACGGGUGAGUAAUGCUUAGGAAUCUGCCUAUUAGUGGGGGACAACAUCUCGAAAGGGAUGCUAAUACCGCAUACGUCCUACGGGAGAAAGCAGGGGAUCUUCGGACCUUGCGCUAAUAGAUGAGCCUAAGUCGGAUUAGCUAGUUGGUGGGGUAAAGGCCUACCAAGGCGACGAUCUGUAGCGGGUCUGAGAGGAUGAUCCGCCACACUGGGACUGAGACACGGCCCAGACUCCUACGGGAGGCAGCAGUGGGGAAUAUUGGACAAUGGGCGCAAGCCUGAUCCAGCCAUGCCGCGUGUGUGAAGAAGGCCUUAUGGUUGUAAAGCACUUUAAGCGAGGAGGAGGCUACUUUAGAUAAUACCUAGAGAUAGUGGACGUUACUCGCAGAAUAAGCACCGGCUAACUCUGUGCCAGCAGCCGCGGUAAUACAGAGGGUGCAAGCGUUAAUCGGAUUUACUGGGCGUAAAGCGCGCGUAGGCGGCUAAUUAAGUCAAAUGUGAAAUCCCCGAGCUUAACUUGGGAAUUGCAUUCGAUACUGGUUAGCUAGAGUGUGGGAGAGGAUGGUAGAAUUCCAGGUGUAGCGGUGAAAUGCGUAGAGAUCUGGAGGAAUACCGAUGGCGAAGGCAGCCAUCUGGCCUAACACUGACGCUGAGGUGCGAAAGCAUGGGGAGCAAACAGGAUUAGAUACCCUGGUAGUCCAUGCCGUAAACGAUGUCUACUAGCCGUUGGGGCCUUUGAGGCUUUAGUGGCGCAGCUAACGCGAUAAGUAGACCGCCUGGGGAGUACGGUCGCAAGACUAAAACUCAAAUGAAUUGACGGGGGCCCGCACAAGCGGUGGAGCAUGUGGUUUAAUUCGAUGCAACGCGAAGAACCUUACCUGGCCUUGACAUAGUAAGAACUUUCCAGAGAUGGAUUGGUGCCUUCGGGAACUUACAUACAGGUGCUGCAUGGCUGUCGUCAGCUCGUGUCGUGAGAUGUUGGGUUAAGUCCCGCAACGAGCGCAACCCUUGAUCUUAGUUGCCAUCAUUUAGUUGGGCACUCUAAGGUGACUGCCGGUGACAAACCGGAGGAAGGUGGGGAUGACGUCAAAUCAUCAUGCCCCUUAUGACCUGGGCUACACACGUGCUACAAUGGACGAUACAAACGGUUGCCAACUCGCGAGAGGGAGCUAAUCCGAUAAAGUCGUUCUCAGUUCGGAUUGUAGGCUGCAACUCGCCUACAUGAAGCCGGAAUCGCUAGUA